UACGUAGGUGGCAAGCGUUGUCCGGAAUUAUUGGGCGUAAAGCGCGCGCAGGCGGUCCUUUAAGUCUGUUGUGAAAGCCCACGGCUCAACCGUGGAGGGUCAUUGGAAACUGGGGGGCUUGAGUACAGAAGAGAAGAGUGGAAUUCCACGUGUAGCGGUGAAAUGCGUAGAGAUGUGGAGGAACACCAGUGGCGAAGGCGACUCUUUGGUCUGUAACUGACGCUGAGGCGCGAAAGCGUGGGGAGCAAACAGG
This 253-nucleotide ribosomal RNA is filed under the name uncultured bacterium. Its description in RNAcentral is "partial 16S ribosomal RNA". It matches the Rfam family "Bacterial small subunit ribosomal RNA", at positions 524 to 776 of the family's 1533-position model. The record is from RNAcentral.